CCAGUCGGCAUCGAUGUAGUGCAGUGUUAAUGACAUGUAAGGCUCCAGUUGUUGUCGCGAAAUAGUGCACCUGUUUCAGGAUCAGCUCCUAUGCUAUUCUUGCACACGGCAUUUUCCAGAGUGUGAACCAUCUUCUUGAACCCACUUUGUUCAACUGAUGAAUUUAGGGACAUGUCUUUUGCUAUGUGGUACGUCAUGGCAUCUGUUAUUUCAUUCCAUAGUCAUUCUUCCGGAACAUUCACCCCACCCCUGCCUGGUCGUCGGUGGCUUCUGUGACAUCAUUGGAUCUGCCUAUUCACUCUCACCAACUCACCUCCGCUGCCCGCUCCGUCUCCUGGAUUAUUCUGCUU
This 350-nucleotide long non-coding RNA is filed under the name Salmo salar (Atlantic salmon). RNAcentral describes it as "lncRNA (ENSSSAG00000110815.1)". The record is from RNAcentral. Lineage: Eukaryota; Metazoa; Chordata; Actinopteri; Salmoniformes; Salmonidae.